This 474-nucleotide ribosomal RNA is filed under the name uncultured bacterium. RNAcentral describes it as "bacterial SSU rRNA". It matches the Rfam family "Bacterial small subunit ribosomal RNA", at positions 328 to 793 of the family's 1533-position model. The record is from RNAcentral.
UCAGUCGACUCCUACGGGGAGGCAGCAGUGGGGAAUAUUGCACAAUGGGGGAAACCCUGAUGCAGCCAUGCCGCGUGUGUGAAGAAGGCCUUCGGGUUGUAAAGCACUUUCAGUAGGGAGGAAGGUAGUGUAGUUAACACCUGCAUUAUUUGACGUUACCUACAGAAGAAGCACCGGCUAACUCCGUGCCAGCAGCCGCGGUAAUACGGAGGGUGCGAGCGUUAAUCGGAAUUACUGGGCGUAAAGCGCAUGCAGGCGGCCUGUUAAGUCAGAUGUGAAAGCCCGGGGCUUAACCUCGGAAUUGCAUUUGAAACUGGCAGGCUAGAGUCUUGUAGAGGGGGGUAGGAAUUUCAGGUGUAGCGGUGAAAUGCGUAGAGAUCUGAAGGAAUACCAGUGGCGAAGGCGGCCCCUGGACAAAGACUGACGCUCAGAUGCGAAAGCGUGGGGAGCAAACAGGAUUAGAUACCCUGGUAG